CACUGAUUGUACGCGCGGUGUCGACACGCGUGUGCUGUUCGUCGUCUGCGUCUCGUCGUCGUCGUCGUCGUCUGCGUCGCGGUCGUCGUGUGGUGCGUGUUUGUGUUUAUUUUUUUUUCUUGUGUCGUCGCCCCGUCUGUCCGAUCACAUUGUCCGCCGACGCCGUCGCGCAAAACACAAAUUUUAUUAUUAAUCAUUUUUAUUAAUCGCCACCCCGAUAAUAAAUACGAUCAUUUUUUUU
Molecule: non-coding RNA, 241 nt
Organism: Cinara cedri
Lineage: Eukaryota; Metazoa; Arthropoda; Insecta; Hemiptera; Aphididae
Source: the annotation of a GenBank genome assembly